CCCUACGGGAGGCAGCAGUGAGGAAUAUUGGUCAAUGGGCGAGAGCCUGAACCAGCCAAGUCGCGUGAGGGAAGACGGUCCUAUGGAUUGUAAACCUCUUUUGUCGGGGAGCAAAAAGGCCUCGUGAGGCCACAAGUGAGAGUACCCGAAGAAAAAGCACCGGCUAACUACGUGCCAGCAGCCGCGGUAAUACGUAGGGUGCGAGCGUUAAUCGGAAUUACUGGGCGUAAAGGGUGUGCAGGCGGCUGAGUAAGACAGAUGUGAAAUCCCCGGGCUUAACCUGGGAACCGCAUAUGUGACUGCUU
Molecule: ribosomal RNA, 305 nt
Filed under: uncultured bacterium
Lineage: Bacteria
Description: bacterial SSU rRNA
Rfam family: Bacterial small subunit ribosomal RNA
Source: RNAcentral